Molecule: ribosomal RNA, 561 nt
Filed under: Triticum aestivum (bread wheat)
Lineage: Eukaryota; Viridiplantae; Streptophyta; Magnoliopsida; Poales; Poaceae
Description: partial small subunit ribosomal RNA
Source: RNAcentral
AUGGGCAGUGAAAGAGCUGCUCGAAAACCCACAUCAAUGUCCAGCGCUUGCAACGAGCUUGCAGAAGUUAUUGGCUUCAAAAGAAACAUUGAAGAAGAUGAUAUUGUUCGGUUGCCCUAUCUCCAAGCUGUCAUAAAAGAUACUUUUCGACUUCAUCCUCCCGGGCCACUCUUGUUGCCACGCAAACCUGAGAGGACAGUGGAAAUAGCAGGUUACACAAUACCUAAAGAUUCACGUGUGUUCAUAAAUGUAUGGGCGAUAGGUCGAGAUAAAGAUGUAUGGUCUGAGCCUGAGAAGUUUAUGCCAGAGAGGUUCUUGGGUUCAACAAUUGACUUUAGGGGUGCUGAUUUUGAGCUCCUACCAUUUGGUGCUGGACGUCGGAUCUGCCCUGGAAUGCCAUUGGCUAUUAGAACGGUGCAGUUGAUCCUCGCUUCGUUGUUAAAUCAGUUUAAAUGGAGUCUCCCUAUUGAGCUUGAACGGGAUGGAAUUGAUAUGGAAGAAAAGUUUGGCCCAUCACUAACGAAGGUCGUGCCUCUUUGUAUUGUACCAACACCGGUUUGA